UACGGGGGGUGCAAGCGUUGUUCGGAUUUACUGGGCGUAAAGGGCGCGUAGGCGGCCAGCACAAGUCAGUUGUGAAAUCUCCGGGCUUAACUCGGAAAGGUCAACUGAUACUGUGCGGCUAGAGUGCAGAAGGGGCAACUGGAAUUCUCGGUGUAGCGGUGAAAUGCGUAGAUAUCGAGAGGAACACCUGCGGCGAAGGCGGGUUGCUGGGCUGACACUGACGCUGAUGCGCGAAAGCCAGGGGAGCGAACGGG
This 254-nucleotide ribosomal RNA is filed under the name uncultured bacterium. RNAcentral's name for it is "partial 16S ribosomal RNA". It matches the Rfam family "Bacterial small subunit ribosomal RNA", at positions 524 to 776 of the family's 1533-position model. The record is from RNAcentral.